GUAGGUGGCAAGCGUUGUCCGGAAUUAUUGGGCGUAAAGCGCGCGCAGGCGGGUCCUUUAAGUCUGAUGUGAAAGCCCACGGGCUCAACCGCGGAGGGUCAUUGGAAACUGGGGGACUUGAGUACAGAAGAGGAAAGCGGAAUUCCAGGUGUAGCGGUGAAAUGCGUAGAGAUUUGGAGGAACACCAGUGGCGAAGGCGGCUUUCUGGUCUGUAACUGACGCUGAGGCGCGAAAGCGUGGGGAGCAAACAGGAUUAGAUACCCUGGUAGUCCACGCCGUAAACGAUGAGUGCUAAGUGUUAGGGGGUUUCCGCCCCUUAGUGCUGCAGCUAACGCAUUAAGCACUCCGCCUGGGGAGUACGGCCGCAAAGGCUG
This 374-nucleotide ribosomal RNA is filed under the name uncultured organism. RNAcentral's name for it is "partial 16S ribosomal RNA". It matches the Rfam family "Bacterial small subunit ribosomal RNA", at positions 527 to 896 of the family's 1533-position model. The record is from RNAcentral.